GAUGAACGCUAGCGAUAGGCUUAACACAUGCAAGUCGAACGAGAGAUACAGGAGGAAGUUUUCGGAUGGAAUCCAGUAGAUCGAGUGGCGGACGGGUGAGUAACGCGUGGGGAACCUGCCUCAUACAGGGGGAUAACAGUUGGAAACGACUGUUAAUACCGCAUAAGACCACAGAGUCGCAUGACUCAGGGGUAAAAACCCCGGUGGUAUGAGAUGGACCCGCGUUCGAUUAGCCUGUUGGCGGGGUAACGGCCCACCAAAGCGACGAUCGAUAGCCGAUUUGAGAGAAUGACCGGCCACAUUGGUACUGAGACACGGCCCAA
Molecule: ribosomal RNA, 323 nt
Filed under: uncultured bacterium
Lineage: Bacteria
Description: bacterial SSU rRNA
Rfam family: Bacterial small subunit ribosomal RNA
Source: RNAcentral